This 512-nucleotide ribosomal RNA is filed under the name uncultured microorganism. RNAcentral describes it as "bacterial SSU rRNA". It matches the Rfam family "Bacterial small subunit ribosomal RNA", at positions 9 to 524 of the family's 1533-position model. The record is from RNAcentral.
GAGUUUGAUCUUGGCUCAGGAUGAACGCUGGCGGCGUGCUUAACACAUGCAAGUCGAACGAGGAAUUUUAAAUGAGACUUCGGUGGAUUUUAAAAUUCUUAGUGGCGGACGGGUGAGUAACGCGUGGGCAACCUGCCCUGUACAGGGGGACAACAGCUGGAAACGGCUGCUAAUACCGCAUAAGACCACGGAGCCGCAUGGCUCAGUGGGAAAAACUCCGGUGGUACAGGAUGGGCCCGCGUUGGAUUAGGUAGUUGGUGAGGUAACGGCCCACCAAGCCGACGAUCCAUAGCCGACCUGAGAGGGUGACCGGCCACGUUGGGACUGAGACACGGCCCAAACUCCUACGGGAGGCAGCAGUGGGGAAUCUUCCGCAAUGGGCGAAAGCCUGACGGAGCAACGCCGCGUGAGUGAAGAAUUAUUUCGGUAUGUAAAGCUCUAUCAGCAGGGAAGAAAAUGACGGUACCUGACUAAGAAGCCCCGGCUAACUACGUGCCAGCCGCCGCGGUAAG